Molecule: transfer RNA, 85 nt
Filed under: Clostridia bacterium
Lineage: Bacteria; Bacillati; Bacillota; Clostridia
Also listed under: 1 other name
Description: tRNA-OTHER
Source: RNAcentral
AGAGGGAUAAAGGACAAAAACAGGGAUUCCCUCGGAUUUGACUCUGGAUCAGCCGAUCGGGGUUCGAAUCCCUGUCCCUCAGCCA